This 312-nucleotide unclassified non-coding RNA is filed under the name plant metagenome. RNAcentral's name for it is "partial contains 5.8S ribosomal RNA, internal transcribed spacer 2, and large subunit ribosomal RNA". The stretch from base 1 to 105 matches the Rfam family "5.8S ribosomal RNA", at positions 50 to 154 of the family's 154-position model. The record is from RNAcentral.
GAAAUGCGAUAAAUAAUGUGAAUUGCAGAAUUCCGUGAAUCAUCGAAUCUUUGAACGCACAUUGCGCCCUCUGGCAUUCCGGGGGGCAUGCCUGUCCGAGCGUCAUUACGCACCCUCAAGCCCGGCUUGUGUGAUGGGCCCCGGCGUCUCGUUCGCGAGACGGGCCCGAAAGGCAGCGGCGGCGUCGACCCGAUGAGCCCGAGCGUAUGGGGACUUCUGUCACACGUUCGCGGUGCGGACCGGCGCCUGCUUGACUUUUCUGAUUAUCCAGGUUGACCUCGGAUCAGGUAGGGAUACCCGCUGAACUUAAGC